Molecule: long non-coding RNA, 2278 nt
Filed under: Lathyrus oleraceus (garden pea)
Lineage: Eukaryota; Viridiplantae; Streptophyta; Magnoliopsida; Fabales; Fabaceae
Description: Pisum sativum (pea) long non-coding RNA (PSAT_LNC016711)
Source: RNAcentral
CUGGAAACGAGAGGAGACCAAGAGCGCCGCUAGAUCCACAUACUGCUUUUUUUUGUUUUUCUGGUGAAAAGUUUGAAAUAACAACGUUAAGAGAAAAAAGGCAGAGGGUUUUCUUCAGGUGGAUGGCGCAUGCUUUUGUCUUUUGACAGCAAACAUCUCAUUUCACCAACUUGCUCAUGUUCUUCAUCCUUUGGCACUCAUUAUCUUCCUCAAACUCAUAUUUUUUCAUACUAAACAACACACCAUAACUAACAAGACUACUUCCAUUUUCAUACAAAAAACCUCUUACCCACUUAAACCAUUCACUUCUACACAAAUCAAACAUCAGAAAAACACCAUUCACUAUUGUUUUCUCCCCUAGUUCACCACCGUGAAGUCACCGCGGAAUCACCAUUGUUCCUCUCUCCGACGCACUUUUCUGGCGAGACAGAACGAAAACACCAACAAGCUCAACUUAUUCUUGGAACAACUCAUAUUCUUUAUCAGCGCGAGGAAAUCAUGCUACACUGAAAUCAAUAUCUAUCAUCAAGGUUCAAGUGGUUUUCUAUUUGAUUAUAUCUGUUUUUUUUUCUUCGCUCUUUUGAUCUUGUUUGGUUUGUAUGUGCUCUAGUCUAAGUUGCACCUCUCUUCAUGGUUCAAGUGUGUUUGUUGCGGUUCUGAUUUCCAAAUGUUUUGAUUCCGAUUUUAUUAAUUUUCGAGAUUGGUUGCUGCUAUUAAUUGUUUGCAUGGUUAAGUUGAUGUAUUGACGCAUAUUGUGAUUAUCAGCUGAUAUUCCAUCAUGUUGUUGAAUGCCGAUUUCAGAAUUGUUUGGAACUUGUUGUUCUAUGUAUCAUGAUACCAACUUGUUUUCUUCUUUUAUCUCAACUCUUAACAGGGCCAUGGUUAUUAUUCAUUAGUAUAAGAUUUAUUUUUGUUUCCUUUUAAAAAAAAGGUUUGGUUUAGUUUUGAUAUUAGGAUUCAACUUGCUUUAGAUAGAAUAAUGUUGUAGUUAGUUAUGUUGAUGUUACUACACCGUUUUUACAGAAAAAAAGGAAUGAGAAGAAAGUGGUUUUCAGUAAAUAAUUUUAGUUCACUAAAAAGGGGUAGUUAAAUCUCAUUGUUUCUUGUUAAUUUGAAUUUUAUGGAAGUAUGCAUAGUUAUUCAAAAAAUACAUUGCCAUUUUCGUUUUACUUUACUGUAUAGAGGGGUUGUUGUUGUUAGUUUGUUUUUUUCUCUCACAUAUGAUAAGACACAUGUCCAUGGCCUAUUGGUUGUGCCUAGCUUUUGAAAAAAUGAAUGUUAAGUAAAAAGAGGCCACAAAUGCGCCAUCUUUUCUUUCUAACAGCAAGUUUUUCUUUUUUUAUUGAUUUAUUAUAUAUUAUUAUUAGAAUUUGAGUUUAGAUUAUGUUUUUGGUUUCAUUAUGUAUAUUUAGGCCCACUUUCACUUAUGGACUUUUGUUUUUUACUAAUUGCACUCCUCUUGCUUUGAAAUAAAUUUAUGAGUAUUGUAAUAAAUUGGUGUAGCUACUACUCUAUUCCUUUGAUUUAAUUGGGUUUCUAAUCCGUGGACUCGGUAAUUUCAUGUCGUUAUGCCGCUAAAUCUCAAUACAUUGAUAGACAUUUUCGCCGCGUUAUGACCCUUGCAUACGACAUUUCAUUCAUUGUCGAUACGCGCAAACCGGCUUUGAGCACAUUAUCUAGGUUAUGUUUAUUCCUCAAUUUCCAUUUGUCAUUGUACGUCCUUGCGUUAAGUGACUUUGAUUCGCAUCCUCGCAUCCCGAUUUUAAUCCGUGCACGUCCCAAUUUUACUUCUUUCAAUUUAAUUUUUAAAUGUCUUGUAAAUAUAACUUGUUGUACUGUUUAUUUUCUUCACAUGACUUACUCUUGGGCCUUCUUACAAUGAGACGGUUUCCUUGCACCUACAUUCAUACAUUGCAUUGCUUGUUGGUUAGGCCCGAUUUAAUUAUUUCAUCAUUUUAAAUCCCAUUCGACAAAAUGUACCCCCACUCCCAUGAUGUGUAAUAAUUUUACUGCUUUAUUUAUUUAUUUGCUUGACUGUUUCGCUAGCUACUAACACAAGUAUAAAAUCAACCAUUUCCAAAAGAUCAAAAAUUAAAACUGGAUCCAACGUCGAGUAUUUUAACCAAUAAAUGAAUCCCUCCAUUUCUAUCAAUCCAUUUCUUCCUUUUCUUCCAAACCACUUCAUUCAAGUUCUAUCUCAACCUUCAUUAAAUGCUUGAUCCAACGUCAAGCCAUUUUCAUAAUAAAAACUAAAAAACUUAAUUCAUAUUUAAAGACC